Molecule: ribosomal RNA, 274 nt
Filed under: uncultured bacterium
Lineage: Bacteria
Description: partial 16S ribosomal RNA
Rfam family: Bacterial small subunit ribosomal RNA
Source: RNAcentral
UAAGUUUGAUGGCGACCGGCGCACGGGUGAGUAACACGUAUCCAACCUGCCGAUGACUCGGGGAUAGCCUUUCGAAAGAAAGAUUAAUACCCGAUGGCAUAGUUCUUCCGCAUGGUGGAACUAUUAAAGAAUUUCGGUCACCGAUGGGGAUGCGUUCCAUUAGGUUGUUGGCGGGGUAACGGCCCACCAAGCCUUCGAUGGAUAGGGGUUCUGAGAGGAAGGUCCCCCACAUUGGAACUGAGACACGGUCCAAACUCCUACGGGAGGCAGCAUG